UAGGGAAUCUUCGGCAAUUGACGAAAGUCUGACCGAGCAACGCCGCGUGAGUGAAGAAGGUUUUCGGAUCUUAAAACUCUGUUGUUAGAGAAGAACAAGGACGUUAGUAACUGAACGUCCCCUGACGGUAUCUAACCAGAAAGCCACGGCUAACUACGUGCCAGCAGCCGCGGUAAUACGUAGGUGGCAAGCGUUGUCCGGAUUUAUUGGGCGUAAAGCGAGCGCAGGCGGUUUCUUAAGUCUGAUGUGAAAGCCCCCGGCUCAACCGGGGAGGGUCAUUGGAAACUGGGAGACAUGAGUGCAGAAGAGGAGAGUGGAAUUCCAUGUGUAGCGGUGAAAUGCGUAGAUAUAUGGAGGAACACCAGUGGCGAAGGCGGCUCUCUGGUCUGUAACUGACGCUGAGGCUCGAAAGCGUGGGGAGCAAACAGG
This 429-nucleotide ribosomal RNA is filed under the name Gemmatimonadota bacterium. Its description in RNAcentral is "Gemmatimonadetes bacterium partial 16S ribosomal RNA". It matches the Rfam family "Bacterial small subunit ribosomal RNA", at positions 355 to 776 of the family's 1533-position model. The record is from RNAcentral. Lineage: Bacteria; Pseudomonadati; Gemmatimonadota.